This 895-nucleotide unclassified non-coding RNA is filed under the name Hevea brasiliensis (rubber tree). The record is from RNAcentral. Lineage: Eukaryota; Viridiplantae; Streptophyta; Magnoliopsida; Malpighiales; Euphorbiaceae.
CAAAUGCAUCUUUUUUACUCCUUAAACCCAAAGAACUUCCCUGCUUUCUAUACAUAACUCUAGGCAACAUUUCCAAAACCUUUUCUCUCAUCCUUCUAACUUGAGCUCUAGGUAUACUCGAUAAAACAUCAACAAUGCUCAACCCCUUAAACACAACGUCUUCUUUAGGUAUCGACACUGAAAAUUCUUCAUACUUCUCCUCUGGUAAAUGCCAUCCAUACUGUUUUUUCGCGGACAAAUCUUCAAAGAACACAGGAAUACACCCUGCAAGAAUCCCAUCAAACGUGGAACGUCUAGUCGGUGUGUCCCCUGGAGGUUGUAAACAAAAGGUAGCUUGCAACAUUGGCUUCAUAAACCUUAUAGGAUCAUGUUGACAAAUCCCAUUAGAACAAUCAACAAAUUCGCACAAUUUCUCGUACCCUGUUCCAUUAGCACUCAUACUAGUAGCAUUCUCACACUCAAGUCUAAUACUUCUCCUAACAUUAGGAUUAGCUGAAAUUCCACCACCACCAGCAAACAACAUCAAUGUAGUCCUCCUAGACCUCCUUAACCUAUUCACCCAAGAUUCGAAAAAGGCUAAAUUCGGAGGAUGAAAUGAAGUGGGAUAUGGAAUAGCUUGUUCUUGCCAAGGAUAAGCUCUACUCUCAUGAGUCAAUGCAGUCACAUUGUAAAACUCAGGCAAUUCAAGAAAUGAAGUACCAAAAUACAAAGGAUCACUAUUCAAAGGUUGAUUAAAGUCCCAAGCAGGCCUUGCCAUAACCAUAAAAUGAUCAUGACCAUAAUUUCUACUCCAAAUAUUAGGUGAAUCAACAUGGACAAGAAAAUCAUACAAAUCUAAACCAUGCUGAAAACUUGAAUUAAUUUCAGGACCAUACAAGUACUUAAGACUAUCAAG